AUGAACGCUGGCGGCGUGCCUAACACAUGCAAGUCGAACGGAGUUUAGCGCUGAUGAAGCUUCGGCAGAUUCUUGUUAAACUUAGUGGCGGACGGGUGAGUAACGCGUGGGUAACCUGCCUCAUACAGGGGGAUAGCAGUUGGAAACGACUGAUAACACCGCAUAAGCGCACAGGAUCGCAUGAUCUAGUGUGAAAAUAUUUAUAGGUAUGAGAUGGACCCGCGUCUGAUUAGCUAGUUGGUGAGGUAACGGCCCACCAAGGCGACGAUCAGUAGCCGGCCUGAGAGGGCGGACGGCCACAUUGGGACUGAGACACGGCCCAAACUCCUACGGGAGGCAGCAGUGGGGGAUAUUGCACAAUGGGCGAAAGCCUGAUGCAGCGACGCCGCGUGAGUGAAGAAGUAUUUCGGUAUGUAAAGCUCUAUCAGCAGGGAAGAAAGACCUCGUAAGAGGGGAUGACGUAC
This 464-nucleotide ribosomal RNA is filed under the name bacterium FE2007. RNAcentral's name for it is "bacterial SSU rRNA". It matches the Rfam family "Bacterial small subunit ribosomal RNA", at positions 29 to 478 of the family's 1533-position model. The record is from RNAcentral.